RNAcentral lists this ribosomal RNA (253 nucleotides) under uncultured bacterium. Its description in RNAcentral is "partial 16S ribosomal RNA". It matches the Rfam family "Bacterial small subunit ribosomal RNA", at positions 524 to 776 of the family's 1533-position model. The record is from RNAcentral.
UACGGAGGGAGCUAGCGUUGUUCGGAAUUACUGGGCGUAAAGCGCACGUAGGCGGCUUUGUAAGUUAGAGGUGAAAGUCCAGGGCUCAACCCUGGAAAGCGGGUGGAUACUGCCGGGCUAGAGUCCGGAAGAGGCGAGUGGAAUUCCUGGUGUAGCGGUGGAAUGCGCAGAUAUCAGGAGGAACACCAAUAGCGAAGGCAGCUCGCUGGGACGGUAUUGACGCUAAGGCGCGAAAGCGUGGGGAGCAAACAGG